AACGAACGCUGGCGGCAGGCUUAACACAUGCAAGUCGAGCGCCCCGCAAGGGGAGCGGCAGACGGGUGAGUAACGCGUGGGAACGUACCUUUUGGUUCGGAACAACUCCGGGAAACUGGAGCUAAUACCGGAUAAGCCCUAACGGGGAAAGAUUUAUCGCCGAAAGAUCGGCCCGCGUCUGAUUAGCUAGUUGGUGAGGUAACGGCUCACCAAGGCGACGAUCAGUAGCUGGUCUGAGAGGAUGAUCAGCCACACUGGGACUGAGACACGGCCCAGACUCCUACGGGAGGCAGCAGUGGGGAAUAUUGGACAAUGGGCGCAAGCCUGAUCCAGCCAUGCCGCGUGAGUGAUGAAGGCCUUAGGGUUGUAAGGCUCUUUUGUCCGGGAAGAUAAUGACUGUACCGGAAGAAUAAGCCCCGGCUAACUUCGUG
This 431-nucleotide ribosomal RNA is filed under the name uncultured bacterium. Its description in RNAcentral is "partial 16S ribosomal RNA". It matches the Rfam family "Bacterial small subunit ribosomal RNA", at positions 29 to 507 of the family's 1533-position model. The record is from RNAcentral.